AUUGAACGCUGGCGGCAGGCCUAACACAUGCAAGUCGAGCGGAUGAAGGGAGCUUGCUCCUGGAUUCAGCGGCGGACGGGUGAGUAAUGCCUAGGAAACUGCCUGGUAGUGGGGGAUAACGUCCGGAAACGGGCGCUAAUACCGCAUACGUCCUGAGGGAGAAAGUGGGGGAUCUUCGGACCUUACGCUAUCAGAUGAGCCUAGGUCGGAUUAGCUAGUUGGUGGGGUAAAGGCCUACCAAGGCGACGAUCCGUAACUGGUCUGAGAGGAUGAUCAGUCACACUGGGACUGAGACACGGUCCAGACACCGACGGGAGGCAGCAGUGGGGAAUAGUGGACGAUGGGCGGAAGCCUGAUCCAGCCGUGCCGGGUGUGUGAAGAAGGUCUUCGGAGUGGAUAGCGCCUUAAGUUGGGAAGAAGGGCAGUAAGUUAAUACCUUGCUGUUUUGACGGUACCAACAGAAUAAGCACCGGCUAACUUCGUG
RNAcentral lists this ribosomal RNA (484 nucleotides) under uncultured bacterium. RNAcentral describes it as "partial 16S ribosomal RNA". It matches the Rfam family "Bacterial small subunit ribosomal RNA", at positions 30 to 507 of the family's 1533-position model. The record is from RNAcentral.